Molecule: ribosomal RNA, 375 nt
Filed under: uncultured bacterium
Lineage: Bacteria
Description: bacterial SSU rRNA
Rfam family: Bacterial small subunit ribosomal RNA
Source: RNAcentral
ACGUAGGGGGCAAGCGUUGUUCGGAAUUACUGGGCGUAAAGGGCGCGUAGGCGGCAUGGCAAGUCGGGAGUGAAAUCCCGGGGCUCAACCCCGGAACUGCUUUCGAAACUGCCAAGCUAGAGUACGGAAGGGGCAACUGGAAUUCCCAGUGUAGCGGUGAAAUGCGUAGAUAUUGGGAAGAACACCGGAGGCGAAGGCGGGUUGCUGGGCCGAUACUGACGCUGAGGCGCGAAAGCCAGGGGAGCAAACGGGAUUAGAUACCCCGGUAGUCCUGGCCCUAAACGAUGGAUACUUGGUGUGUGGGGUUCUCAAAGUCCCCGCGUGCCGGAGCUAACGCGUUAAGUAUCCCGCCUGGGGAGUACGGUCGCAAGGCUG